GAUGGUCCCAACAGAAGCGUUCCUUAGCGUCCCCAUGUUUGGUCCCCCCUCUGUUGGGGUACCUAGCACACAGAUCUGGUACUAAAAGGUGGAGCUAGAAACCCUGCAGUCUGAUUGGUCAGUAGAGGACGCUCACUCUGGUUUUAUGUAACCUCUGUUCAUACAUCAGUAAACUACAACUAUAAAAUGAAAGAGAAAAAAAUCACUUCAUUCACUGGGCCGACUGCCGGCAACUUUUAAGGUGGAACGUUAACUUGUAAUGUUACUCAAUGCAUGAGUUGAUGACGUGAAUCCAUCAGCACACCUUAAAUUUCACUGUGACAACUUUGAGCAUCACUUUAGUUUUUAUAUGACACACACUUUUAGUAAUGACUUUAAAAAUAUAGAUUCAUUUGGAGCGGAUUAUGUGAAGGUCAUAUAUUCUAAUCCUCACUUCCUGUGGGCUACAGCAACACUAAACCCCUAAGUGUUUGGUGGAAACGGGCUUUAGAGCUGUAACUCAACAUCUCAUCAUCAUCAUCGUCAUCGUCUUUACUCCUUUUUGAAAAGAUUCUUAACACAUUAACUUUGAUCAAAGAUUCACUCUGGCUCCAGGCUGGACAAAACCAGACUGUUUACAUUAUUUAUUUUGGCAUGUCUAUAUUUUCUGAUGCUUAACGAUGCUAUCUUUUCUCACUGAUGCAAAGUGACCUGAUUUAAGGCUGUUUGUCCACUGGGGGAUACAGUAGGCUGGUAAAUGGUUCGUAGUUUGGUGUCUAAUGAGUACUGAUCCAGGACCAUCACAUUAUGAUCUUGGGUGGACAUUUCACGGCAGGCAGCUUAGAGACUUUUUUAGAUCGGUAUAAAGUAACAAAAAGGUGAUUAACCCUGACAGAGAAAGGUCUCUUCCAUUAAAGUUAAGAACAAACCUUGUAAAAUCAAGCAGACAGCAGAGAAUUUUCUUUCUUGAUUCUGCAGGAUUUUUAUCAAGGUUACUGGAAGGGACUUUAUAUGAUGCUUUAUAAAUCCCUUAACGUUGAGCUUCAGAGUUAAAUCUUGACCUUGACAACAGAAGUUGACAAAAAAACCCAUCGAACUUCAAGCUCUAUCUACAUCAAUCAGCUGAAACAUUAAAAUCCCAGAGAGGUGAAGUUAAUAAUACUGAUGGUGUUUUAAGAAUGCACUGUUCUGGUCCUGGCAUUUGUGUGGAUGCCAAUCGAUAUGCACCACCCACCCAAACACUGUUGCAGACCAAGUACACCCUUUCAUGGCAGCUCAUUCUCAAAUGGCAGUGACCUCCCUCAGCAGACAGUGCAACAUGUCACACCAUAAAGACUGCUCAGGAAUGGCCAGAGGACGUGACAAAGAGCUCAAGGCAUCGACCUGGCCUCCAAAUUCUCCAGAUCCCAGUCUGAUCAAGCAUUAGUGGGACGUGCCUAAACCACAGGUACCCCUGAACCACAAUGGAGCGUCCUUGGAUGGGACUUGGCUCUGACAUGUCAAGGGGUGUCCUGUGGUGUCUGGCACUGGGGCGUUUGUGGCGGAUCCUUUGAGACCUGUCGGUUGAGAGGUGGGGUAUCAGCACGUCCCACGGAUGCUUGAUGAAAUUGCAGUCUGAGGAAUUUGGAGGACAUGUUGACACCAUGAUGUCUUUGUCACGUUCCUCAGGCCGUUCCUGAGAUGUUUUUGCAUUGUGGCAUGGUGCAUUGUCUUGUUGGUGGGCCACUGUCAUUCAGCGAGUGCCGUUGCCGUGAAUUGUACUUGAUCUGCAACAAUUUUUGGGUAGGUAGAGUGCAUCAGGUGGCAUCCACAUGAACGCCAGGACCAAAGGUUUCCCAGCAGAACAUUAUAACGAGAUGAUCAAUGUUUUACACUUCACCUGUCAGUGGUUUCAAUGUUUGGCUUGUUGGACCUUUGAUUCUAUCACAUGGUCUUAUGGUGUUUUCUCAGCACUGUAAGAACGUCUCGUCCAUUGCUUUAACAUUAUGUAGCCGGUGGUAUUGAGUAAGGAAUGUUUGAUUUUAUUAAAAUUAAUCCUUUUGUUGAACUAAGUUUGUAUUGACUCAAUGAAAGGAACCUUUCUCUGUCAAGUCUUUUUGUUACUUUGCGUCUAACUCCACCUCAUUUUUAUCACCUUAAAAGUCAUCCAGAAGAUUAUUUGCAUCCUGCAUUGAAUUGAGAGACUGAAAUGUCUGUGAUUCGUGAGAUGUCCAUUGUCAGUUCUGGAUCAGCACUAAUAGCUUCUGAGCUAUGACAUGAAAAAAACACCAGUAUGAUCCGUAAAGCAGGAAGAGCCCAGUGGACUCAGACGCCCUGAUAGUUCAGAUUGUUUAGGUUUUUUUCCAAAGUGCCUUAAUGUUCUGUUGUUGUUGAGAUCGGUCCAUUAACCUGCUGUUUGCAAGCUAAUGGGCCGACUUGGAUUCAGUGAGGAAAAACAAAAACUGAAGAAGAUAAUGGAACCACAACCACAAAGGCGAGGUCUGUGCGGCUGGGAUGGAGAAAUGAAGCGAUUUACUAUGUUUUAGAAGAGAAGAUGUCCACAGUAUUAUAAGUCACAUCACAAAGAGCUCACAUGACUUGUGUUGUUUUUCUACAUUUUUUAAAAGUGUGUUUAAACUACAAGUUGUGAUUUGUUGCAUGUUGUAAAUUAAAGGCUCAUUGCACCA
Epinephelus fuscoguttatus (brown-marbled grouper) is the source of this 2645-nucleotide long non-coding RNA. RefSeq lists it as uncharacterized. The record is from RefSeq and is a predicted model, not a curated record. NCBI's taxonomy places the organism in Eukaryota, Metazoa, Chordata, Actinopteri, Perciformes, Serranidae. The transcript is spliced from 2 exons.